GAUGAAGAACGUAGUGAAAUGCGAUAAGUAAUAUGAAUUGCAGAAUUCAGUGAAUCAUCGAAUCUUUGAACGCACAUUGCGCCCGCCAGCACUCUGGCGGGCAUGCCUGUUCGAGCGUCAUUUCAACCAUCAAGCCCCCAGGGGCUUGUGCUGGGGCCCUGCGGCUGCCCGCAGGCCCUGAAAACCAGUGGCGGGCUCGCUAGUCACACCGAGCGCAGUAGCACAUCUCGCUCAGGGCGUGCGGCGGGCUCCUGCCGUGAAACCCCCCACUGUAACCCCAAAGGUUGACCUCGGAUCAGGUAGGAAUACCCGCUGAACUUAAGCAUAUCAAUAAGCGGAGGA
Molecule: unclassified non-coding RNA, 342 nt
Filed under: soil metagenome
Description: partial contains 5.8S ribosomal RNA, internal transcribed spacer 2, and large subunit ribosomal RNA
Rfam family: 5.8S ribosomal RNA (bases 1-120)
Source: RNAcentral